UUUCCUCUUCCAACUUUUGGAAAUGGCUAUGGGGUACCAAAUUUGACAAAAACACUAAUCUAGCCUCAAAUUAAACCUAAAACUAACCCAUAUAAAUACAAACCAGUUACAAUUUUCAGUAAAAACCUAAAACAAAGAACGCUUUCAAAUCUCAUCUAAUCUUUCCAAAUUCCGUAAACCUUAAUCAAUUUGUUUUUUGAUCUUCACGUCCAACGAUCUCCAAUCCAGCCAAGAAAAGAUAUGGACUUCGGUCACUUAGCCUUUUAUUCUUGAGAGCUCCAACAGGAGGAUGUUGACUGGACACCGGAGACUAUGGUACCUAAAAGCAUGUACAAGUUCGCUAUGGCGGGGAGACCCAUUUGGAGUAGGAACUUGAUGACAAGCUCGCAUUGGAAGAGCUCAUUGAGCUCAUCAGGUUUGCCAGGAGAAUAAGGGAUGCAAUUGCAUCUCGGAGAUCCUACGACAAACAUAUGAAUAGUCUGUUUGCAGAAACGGCUAAAGCAGAAGCUUCCAAUGCAGGUGUUGAUGCUGGUAUUCCAUGAUGCUGAUGCUCUCUUUUAGAUAUUAUAAGUUUAUUUUUUAAGUUCUUAAGAUUUUUGGUGGUUUAAUUUUUAAUUUUUUAACACUUUUUUGGAUGAUUAUGGUUUGAGUUAAAAUGCACUUAAAGUUUUAAUUA
This is a long non-coding RNA of Papaver somniferum (opium poppy), 676 nucleotides long. RefSeq lists it as uncharacterized. The transcript is spliced from 2 exons. Lineage: Eukaryota; Viridiplantae; Streptophyta; Magnoliopsida; Ranunculales; Papaveraceae. The record is from RefSeq and is a predicted model, not a curated record.